CCAAAUUGCCUAAAAUGGGGGAAAUUUGCCCCAAAAUGGGCCCCAAAUGGGCCUAGUUGGGCCUAAAAUGGGCCCAGCUGGGCCUAAGCUGAGGUAAAAAUGCCCCAAAAGAGCCCAAAUUGAGCCCAAAAUGGAUCCAAAUGGUGCCAAGGUAUCCCCAAAUAGGCCCAAAAUGGCCCAAAUGAACCAAAAUAGGGUGAAAUUGCCCCAAAAUGGGCCUAAAAUGAGGUAAAAAUGGGCCCAAAAUGGGCCUAAAAUGAGGUAAAAAUGGGCCCAAAUGGGCCUGAAAUGAGGGGAAAAUGCCCCAAAAUGGGCCCGAAAUGGAUCCAAAUGGCCCCAAAAUCAACACAAAUAAGGUAAAAAUGCCCCAAAUGAACCGAAAUUGGGUAAAAUUGCCCCAAAAUGGGCCUAAAAUGAGGGGAAAAUGCCCCAAAAUGGGCCCGAAAGGUCCCAAAUGGGCCCAAAAUGACCAAAAUUGGGUCAAAUUACCCCAAAAAUGGGCCUAAAAUGAGGUAAAAAUGCCCCAAAAUGGGCCCGAAUGCCCCUAAAAUGCCCCAAACUCCCCCAAAAUGCCCCAAAAUGAGGUAAAAAUGCCCCUAAAAUGCCCCAAAAUGACACAAAAUGACACAAAAUGAGGUAAAAAUGCCCCAAAAUGGGCCCAAAAUGCCCCAAAAUACCCCAAAAUGCCCCAAAAUGCCCCAAAUCCCCCCAAAUUUCAAUAGGCCCCAAACUGCCCCAAAAUGCCCCAAUUUCCCUCCAAAUUGCCCCAAAAUGACACAAAAUGAGGUAAAAAUGCCCCAAAAUGAGGUAAAAAUGCCCCUAAAAUGCCCCAAAAUACCCAAAAUGCCCCAAACUCCCCCAAAAUACGCCAAACUUCCCAAAAUACCCCAAAAUGCCCCAAUUUCCCUCCAAAAUGCCCCCAAAGACCCAAUUGCCCUCCAAAUUGCCCAAAAUACCCCAAAUUGCCCCCAAAUGAGGUAAAAAUGCCCGAAAAUGGGCCCAAAUGCGCAAAUAUGCCCCAAAAUGAGGUAAAAAUGCCCCUAAAAUGCCCCAAAAUACCCAAAAUGCCCCAAACUCCCCCAAAAUACCCCAAACUCCCCAAAUCCCCCCAAAAUGCCCCAAUUUCCCUUCAAAAUGUCCCCAAAGACCCAAUUGCCCUCCAAAUUGCCCAAAAUACCCCAAAUUGCCCCCAAAUGAGGUAAAAAUGCCCCAAAAUGGGCCCAAAUGCCCCUAAAAUGCCCCAAAAUGCCCCAACAUGAGGUAAAAAUGCCCCAAAAUGCCCCAAACUCCCCCAAAAUGCCCCAAAUCCCCCCACACUUCAAUAGUCCCCAAACUGCCCCAAUUUCCCUCCAAAUUGCCCCAAAUUUCCCUCCAAAAUGCCCCAAAAUGCUCCAAAACACCCCAAAAUACCCCAAACUCCCCAAAUUUACCCCAAAUCGCCCCAAAAUGCCCCAAAAUCGGCAGUUUUUGGCUUUGCCUGAUCCGGGCGGGUUUUGCCCCAAAGCGGCUGCGGGUCUGGGGGGGGGAGGGGCCAGAAGGGCCUUUUGAGGCCCCAAAAUCCCCCUAAUUAACCCCAAACCCCCUAAUUAACACCCAACCCCCUAAUUAACACCCAAACCAUGUAAUUAACACCCAAACGCACAUAAUUAACGCCCAAAAAACAUGUAAUUAACCCCAAAAACCCCGUAAUUAGCCCCAAAAACCCGUAAUUAACCCCAAAGCCGUAAUUAACUCGGCGUCUGUAAUUAAUGGACUCAAAGCACUUUAAUUAA
Molecule: long non-coding RNA, 1772 nt
Organism: Columba livia (rock pigeon)
Lineage: Eukaryota; Metazoa; Chordata; Aves; Columbiformes; Columbidae
Exons: 2
Source: RefSeq, a predicted model, not a curated record